RNAcentral lists this ribosomal RNA (263 nucleotides) under uncultured prokaryote. RNAcentral describes it as "partial 16S ribosomal RNA". It matches the Rfam family "Bacterial small subunit ribosomal RNA", at positions 526 to 788 of the family's 1533-position model. The record is from RNAcentral.
CGGAGGAUCCGAGCGUUAUCCGGAUUUAUUGGGUUUAAAGGGUGCGCAGGCGGGAGAUUAAGUCGGCGGUGAAAUUUUGCAGCUCAACUGUAAAAGUGCCUUCGAUACUGGUUUCCUUGAGUGUGGAUGAAGUAGGCGGAAUUUGUGGUGUAGCGGUGAAAUGCUUAGAUAUCACGAGGAACUCCGAUUGCGCAGGCAGCUUACUAAACCACUACUGACGCUCAGGCACGAAGGCGUGGGGAUCAAACAGGAUUAGAUACCCU